GUAGGGAAUAUUGGGCAAUGGUCGGAAGACUGACCCAGCCAUGCCGCGUGCAGGAAGACGGCCCUCUGGGUUGUAAACUGCUUUUAUCUGGGAAGAAAAAGGCCAUGCGUGGCAAAUUGCCGGUACCAGAUGAAUAAGCACCGGCUAACUCCGUGCCAGCAGCCGCGGUAAUACGGAGGGUGCGAGCGUUGUCCGGACUUAUUGGUUUUAAAGGGUGCGUAGGCGGCUGAUUAAGUCAGCGGUGAAAGACUUCGGCUUAACCGGAGCAGUGCCGUUGAUACUGGUUGGCUUGAGUGUCGGAGGGGUACAUGGAAUUGAUGGUGUAGCGGUGAAAUGCAUAGAUACCAUCAGGAACACCGAUAGCGAAGGCAUUGUACUGGCCGACAACUGACGCUGAUGCACGAAAGUGUGGGGAUCGAACAGGAUUAGAAACCCUGGUAGUCC
Molecule: ribosomal RNA, 444 nt
Filed under: uncultured bacterium
Lineage: Bacteria
Description: partial 16S ribosomal RNA
Rfam family: Bacterial small subunit ribosomal RNA
Source: RNAcentral